Molecule: long non-coding RNA, 1261 nt
Organism: Sapajus apella (tufted capuchin)
Lineage: Eukaryota; Metazoa; Chordata; Mammalia; Primates; Cebidae
Exons: 3
Source: RefSeq, a predicted model, not a curated record
CACAGAACCCUGUAGGGCUGGACCCUAUAGUGCUUGAAGUGUCAGUACCUGCUGCAAGGAUGUUAUACGGAACCUUUGGCAGGCUGCUACAGAUGAAUAAUAAUAUAAACCUGUGCUAGUUAUUUAUUACGUCCCAGCUCCAUAUUUAUCCUGCAUUGCCUGCUCAGUGAAAUGCUUCUGGCCCUUUAGUUUUUCCUUUACCAGCUGGCAUGAUUUUAAGCUUUGUCAGUAGAGGGCGCUGGAGAGACAUUGCCGGAGAAUGGAGUUUCCCUUUCUGCUUCCGGCUUCCGGUGUGUUCUCUCCAGGCUCCGGCCUGAUGGGUGACUUCUUCCCAGUCUGGCUUCCGCAGCACCCCGGGCUUUGCCAGCACCCAGCUCCCGCAGCAUGGGCAGCUCCUGUGACAGCAGGUGCCCACAACCUGCACAACCUCCAGUGCCUGCCUGCUAGCAGCUUUCUCCGCCACCCUCUUCAGGUAGUUCUGUAGCAGAGCAUCUCAUGAGACACCUCCCUGUGAGCAGCUUUUUCCACCAUUGAGGAUGGAUUUCCAGCAAGUUCUGCCCAUGUGGUACCACAGCCACUUCUCUGCCAUGCCGUGAACUGCAGAUGUGCCUUCUUCAAGGCAUCCUAGAGCCGCGAGCGGCCUCGCACUGCCCGCGCGUUUCCUCUGCUCCCCAGCGCUCUCCGCCGGCCGUGGCCGCACGAUAGCUGGCAGCACAGUCAGCCACUGCUUGGGAGCUCGGAAGAUGCUCCAGCGCCGCAGCAGGUGCUGCGAAGCCACUCAGCCCUGGCGCAGGAACCAGUGCAGCUAAUUGGCGGGCAGUCAUCGGGGACGGAAGUGGCCGCCCAAAGCCGGAAGUGGUCCUGGCCCUGAGCCAUGUCCUCUCUAGGACUGCCGGAGGCUCGGCAUCUCAGUGAUAGACCCAGGAAGUCAGUGGCGGGACGGAGCGGGGCGGGCUGUGACGACUGAGGUCUGCAGCAAAACGGAGUCCAGCCCUUUGGUCUUUGCUUCCUUCGGUAACGAACGCCCUACGAAAGGGAAGGCAGCCCCCAGGCCCCGAAGGCAAGCUUGCUGCUCAGACGCCUCUGAAGUUGGGGCUUGGAAAGGAAGCUGGAGCUACAGGAGUGAGCCCUUCGGAUGAACCGAGGAAAAGCGGACUUCCUGGGUCAGCGUCCAGUACAGUAGCUGCUAGCUACAUGCGGCUAUUUAAACUCUAAUUUGAGCUGAUUAAAACCAAUUAAAGUUAAAAACUUGAGGGCUCUA